Molecule: ribosomal RNA, 431 nt
Filed under: uncultured bacterium
Lineage: Bacteria
Description: partial 16S ribosomal RNA
Rfam family: Bacterial small subunit ribosomal RNA
Source: RNAcentral
AGCGAACGCUGGCGGCAGGCUUAACACAUGCAAGUCGAGCGCCACGCUCCGGGCGCGGCCGACGGGAGAGUAACACGUGGGAACAUACCUUUUGGUCCUGACCAACUGAGCGUUACUUCAGCUACUACCGGAUAAGCCCUUACGGGGAAAGAUUUAUCGCCGAAAGAUUGGCCCGCGUCUGAUUAGCUAGUUGGUGAGGUAACGGCUCACCAAGGCGACGAUCAGUAGCUGGUCUGAGAGGAUGAUCAGCCUCACUGGGACUGAGACACGGCCCAGACUCCGACGGGAGGCAGCAGUGUGUGAUAUUGGACAAUGGGGGCAAUCCAGAACCAGCCAUGCCGGGUGAGAGAUGAAGGCCUUAUGGUUGUAAAGCACUGUUGCCCGGGAAGAUAGUGACGGUACCAGGAGAAUAAGCCCCGGCUAACUUCGUG